Thamnophis elegans (Western terrestrial garter snake) is the source of this 366-nucleotide non-coding RNA. Lineage: Eukaryota; Metazoa; Chordata; Lepidosauria; Squamata; Natricidae. The record is from the annotation of a RefSeq genome assembly.
AUGUGGUUCAACGUGGUGUCCUUACUAGUACUCCUCAGAGGUGUCCAAUCUGAGGUUCAGUUGGUGGAGUCUGGAGGGGAUGUGAGAAGACCUGGAGAAUCCCUCCGACUCUCCUGCCAAGCCUCUGGAUUCACCUUCAGCGGUUAUAGUUUGACCUGGGUGAGACAGGCUCCUGGGAAAGGACUGGAAUGGGUUGCAUACAUCUAUCCUGAUUCUAGUGGAAUAUUUUACUCAGACAAAGUCAAGGGACGCUUCACCAUCUCCAGGGACAAUGCCAAAAGCCAGAUGUAUCUGCAAAUGAACAGCCUCAAACUAGAGGACACAGCUGUCUAUUACUGUGCAAGAGACACAGUGAGAGGAAGUUAA